This 292-nucleotide ribosomal RNA is filed under the name uncultured bacterium. RNAcentral's name for it is "partial 16S ribosomal RNA". It matches the Rfam family "Bacterial small subunit ribosomal RNA", at positions 505 to 796 of the family's 1533-position model. The record is from RNAcentral.
GUGCCAGCCGCCGCGGUAAGACGAGCCACCCGAACGUUAUUCGGAAUUACUGGGCUUAAAGGGUGCGUAGGCGGUGCAGCAAGUCGGGAGUGAAAUACCUCAGCUCAACUGAGGAACUGCUCUCGAUACUGCUGUGCUUGAGUGAGACAGAGGUAAGCGGAACAUCGGGUGGAGCGGUGAAAUGCGUUGAUAUCCGAUGGAACACCGGUGGCGAAGGCGGCUUACUGGGUCUCUACUGACGCUGAGGCACGAAAGCUAGGGUAGCAAACGGGAUUAGAUACCCCCGUAGUCC